UGGGGAUAUUGGACAAUGGGCGAAAGCCUGAUCCAGCCAUGCCGCGUGUGUGAAGAAGGUCUUCGGAUUGUAAAGCACUUUAAGUUGGGAGGAAGGGUUGUAGAUUAAUACUCUGCAAUUUUGACGUUACCGACAGAAUAAGCACCGGCUAACUCUGUGCCAGCAGCCGCGGUAAUACAGAGGGUGCAAGCGUUAAUCGGAAUUACUGGGCGUAAAGCGCGCGUAGGUGGUUAGUUAAGUUGGAUGUGAAAUCCCCGGGCUCAACCUGGGAACUGCAUUCAAAACUGACUGACUAGAGUAUGGUAGAGGGUGGUGGAAUUUCCUGUGUAGCGGUGAAAUGCGUAGAUAUAGGAAGGAACACCAGUGGCGAAGGCGACCACCUGGACUGAUACUGACACUGAGGUGCGAAAGCGUGGGGAGCAAACAGGAUUAGAUACCCUGGUAGUCCACGCCGUAAACGAUGUCAACUAGCCGUUGGGAGCCUUGAGCUCUUAGUGGCGCAGCUAACGCAUUAAGUUGACCGCCUGGGGAGUACGGCCGCAAGGUUAAAACUCAAAUGAAUUGACGGGGGCCGCACAAGAUCUUCCUC
RNAcentral lists this ribosomal RNA (589 nucleotides) under Pseudomonas sp. Its description in RNAcentral is "bacterial SSU rRNA". It matches the Rfam family "Bacterial small subunit ribosomal RNA", at positions 356 to 938 of the family's 1533-position model. The record is from RNAcentral. Lineage: Bacteria; Pseudomonadati; Pseudomonadota; Gammaproteobacteria; Pseudomonadales; Pseudomonadaceae.